This is a long non-coding RNA of Dicentrarchus labrax (European seabass), 2714 nucleotides long. RefSeq lists it as uncharacterized. NCBI's taxonomy places the organism in Eukaryota, Metazoa, Chordata, Actinopteri, Moronidae. The transcript is spliced from 2 exons. The record is from RefSeq and is a predicted model, not a curated record.
UAGAUGCAUGUAUGUUGUAUAUGAAAUAAUGGCGCAUUUAUGCAUAAAAAGAACAGGUUUGUAAGCAGACACGUUUAACUUGUAAUGGAGCACAUCUAAAUACAGCAAUUAGCAGGUACAAUCCUCACACAUCCAGGCCAAACAGGCCGGCCAAAGUCUCCUGUCGCUCUGAAAAGCUGAUUCCGGCUCUCGACUGACAACCGCUUUAACGACGUGACAGUAAACACUGGCGCUAAAAAACAACAACAACAUAAUUGAUCGGACCUCAUAUCUGCACUGCACAUGGAUCAGUCGCACGCAGCAUAUCAUGUGGGUGUGGACGAGCGGCAUCACCAAAAUGUCAUCAUAGAGAAAUGAACGCCACCGUAAAUGAGUUAAAUGCACGAACGGGCCCGGAGUCACGCCGAUGCUGAUGGCAGCAAACUGUCGCCCUCUCGGGAGGACAGGGCGACAGCUUUAGGGCAUGUACCCGAAUUUUUCUCCCGUUUUCACAGCAGCACUGGCUCAUCGCUGGAGCCGGACUCCCCGACGUUGCAUAAAAUGUGUUGCACACGGGAGCAGCGGCGUCAAUGAAGCGGAACCGCUCCAGCCUUCACUGACGUCACGCAGCCCCUCUCUGCAGCAGAGAGCAGCAGGCCUGCAGAGGAGGACCAGGGAGGAGAGAGGGAGAGAGAGAGAGAGGAGGAGGAGGAGGGAGGAGAGAGAGAGUGAGAGACAAUGCUUGAACAGAUGCAAAAACAUGAAUCAUAAAAAAAAAAAAAAAAAAAAACACACUCAUCCCUCCCAUCUUCUGAUGGGGGGGCAGACAGACAGACAGACAGACAGACAAGCAUGUCUCAUUCAUCGAGUCCAACAUUAAAAGCUGUUAGGACAAUUUGGUUCUGCCAGCUGCUGCUUUGCUUUGUGAAUUUCGUUACUAUUUAGCAUCCUGUCAAUCAUCCAACCAGUCAGUCAGUCUUUAUACAAAGAGUGGAAGAGUCAUGGAAUUCAUGGGGACCUGAGGCUGUUUUUGUUCCUGGAGGUCCUCAAAGUAAAGUAGUUUAAGGUGGGAACAUUUUUGCUGUGUUGUUUGAAUCGUUUAAAGUUUUGUUAUAAUGAACAGGGAUCGGACACUUUAACAAAAAGAUUAUAAAAGGAUUAUAAAACUUUUGCUGAACAGCGAGUGAUGGUGAUCUUACGAAGUGUACCAGUAGCACAAGUUCUUCAAGAAAGCAAACUAGUUAGAAUUAGUUACAAUCUAAAGGUUGCUACCAUAAAAUACCAAGUAAGGAGGUUGCAGCAAAAUUCUUGAGCGUAGUGGAUUGGGUGAGGGUACGUUUUUGCUUCUGAUGAAUUAAAAUUAAAUAUUUAGGUAUAUAAUCAAGCAUAAAUUCUCUGGGUGCAGCUUCUGCAGUCUGGGAAUUUGUUGCUUUUAUCUGUUUUAUACAAGCCAAGAUUACGCAAGUGGGCAACUUCCCCAGAGAACCAAAAGCCCCAAAUGCCUCAAUGUUCACUGGGUGUCAGACGCUUUUUGGUAAUAUAAUUACUUGCAGAUUUGUUUGAGACUUUUGGGCACCACUGAAGAACAACAUCAACUGAGUGCUGCAUUGUUAAGCGGCCAUUUGAAGAAGGGCGCUGUGUAAAACUCUAGUUCUGAGACCUGCAUUACUUUAUAUUCCAUUUAGUUUAUAUCAUAUGCUGCAUUUUCCUAAGUAUAAUAGCCAGGAAUGUAUUAGUAUUGCAAAAUAUAAGGGAGUCGCUAUAGUGUAAAGAGAAUAUAUUUGGGUCUUUGACUUUUUUGACAUUUACUGGACCAGAUUGAUAAAUGAAGAAAAUAAUGAUCAUUAGUAGUAGUUCACAGUGUUGUAGCCUUGUUGUUUUAGAUUUUUAGUAUGUCUACAAUCCUGGCUAUUGCCCUGAGGUUUCGUUAGUGGUGGUCGUUGAUGAGCUAGAAAUGACCAUGGAGUAGAUCAACUUAAAAUUUCAUAGGAUUGGGUAUUGGGUUGGAUCAUGGUAGAUUUUACAGGAGUCUAUUUUGGUUCUCCUGAUACAAGUUUUUAGAUUUUAUUGCAGAUUUAAUCCAUUUUACAGUCACCUUUCCUACUAUAAUUACUAGCUGUAGUCAUGACAACUGCAAAACACUUGUCAGAUAUGGUAUCAGCAGCACACUGUUUAUUUUUUUGUGGGUCCUUGGCAUCAUAAAGUUUGAGAACACUGCAGACCUUUCUAAGCUGGGUGUUAGUGUGGGGGUCAUAACUCUUGCAACAAAUCAUACGUUACGUUGUUAUGUGGUGACAGAAAAAGAGGAGAAAAUAGAAACAAGACCGCACUAGAAAUCUGCUUCCAGGGCUUCAUUCUCCAGCUGAUGUUUUGUUCCCAUGCUUCACAGCCCGGGGAUAUUUUCUGUAUCUGUGUGAUUAAAAAUAGUUGUGUAUUUACAGCAACUAGAAUUUGCCUUUGUCAUUUACUUUAUCACUUUAAAUUCCAUACCCAUGCUACUACAUGAUACAAAUGUAAUCCUUGAGUUUGACUGAAUGAUUCUCUUACAGACCUAGGUGUCGUUGUAUACCAUCCUCCUAGUGAACUUUAUAUAGGAUGUGUAAGUGUGCCUGCAAGGAAAACUGAGUUGCAAUUUAAAUCUGUGUGAACCAACCAGUAAUAUUUUUGUACAAUAAAACAACGUACUGCAACAAUGAUUUUAAAGGUUGUGAAAUGAUAAAUCUCAUGUAAUUUGA